ACGAACGCUGGCGACGCGCCUAACACAUGCCAGUCGAACGGAAAGGCCUGCUUUCCCUUGUGGAUUGCGGGUACUCGAGUGGCGAACGGGUGAGUAACACGUGAGUGAUCUGCCCCCAACUUGGGUAUAAGCCUGGGAAACUGGGUCUAAUUCCCGAUAGGACUGCAGGGUGGUGCCUGUGGUGGAAAACGAUUUUCUAGUGGUUGGGGAUGAGCUCGCGGCCUAUCAGCUUGUUGGUGGGGUAAUGGCCUACCAAGGCGGCGACGGGUAGCCGGCCUGAGAGGGUGGACGGCCACAUUGGGACUGAGAUACGGCCCAGACUCCUACGGGAGGCAGCAGUGGGGAAUAGUGCACGAUGGGCGGAAGCCUGAUGCAGCGACGCCGCGUGGGGGAUGACGGCCUUCGGGUUGUAAACUCCUUUCGACCGCGAGGAAGCCACCUGGUUGGAAGGGUGGUGACGGUAGUGGUAGAAGAAGCACCGGCUAACUACGUG
Molecule: ribosomal RNA, 493 nt
Filed under: uncultured bacterium
Lineage: Bacteria
Description: partial 16S ribosomal RNA
Rfam family: Bacterial small subunit ribosomal RNA
Source: RNAcentral